Molecule: ribosomal RNA, 250 nt
Filed under: uncultured bacterium
Lineage: Bacteria
Description: partial 16S ribosomal RNA
Rfam family: Bacterial small subunit ribosomal RNA
Source: RNAcentral
UACGGAGGGUGCGAGCGUUGUCCGGAUUUAUUGGGUUUAAAGGGUGCGUAGGCGGCUUUUUAAGUCUGGGGUGAAAGCCCGCUGCUCAACAGCGGAACUGCCCUGGAUACUGGAGAGCUUGAGUACAGACGAGGUUGGCGGAAUGGACGGAGUAGCGGUGAAAUGCAUAGAUACCGUCCAGAACCCCGAUUGCGAAGGCAGCUGACUAGGCUGUUACUGACGCUGAGGCACGAAAGCGUGGGGAGCGAAC